Molecule: signal recognition particle RNA, 288 nt
Filed under: Carlito syrichta (Philippine tarsier)
Lineage: Eukaryota; Metazoa; Chordata; Mammalia; Primates; Tarsiidae
Description: Metazoan signal recognition particle RNA (ENSTSYG00000027242.1)
Rfam family: Metazoan signal recognition particle RNA
About the family: The signal recognition particle (SRP) is a universally conserved ribonucleoprotein. It is involved in the co-translational targeting of proteins to membranes. The eukaryotic SRP consists of a 300-nucleotide 7S RNA and six proteins: SRPs 72, 68, 54, 19, 14, and 9.
Source: RNAcentral
GCCAGGCGUGGUGGUGUGUGCCUGUAGUCCCAGCUACCGGGGAGGCUGAGGCUGGAGGAUUGCUUGAGUCCAGGAGUUCUGGGCUGCUGUGCGCUAUGCUGAUCGGGUGUCCGCACUAAGUUCAGCAUCAAUAUGGUGACCUCCCAGGAGCGGGGGACCACCAGGUUGCCUAAGGAGGGGUGAACUGGCCCAGGUCAGAAACGGAGCAGAUCAAACUCCUGUGCUGAUCAAUGUGAGUAGUUUUUGCUAAGGAAUUUAGCAAAAAGCUUUGGUAUUUUCUUUUUCUCU